This 492-nucleotide ribosomal RNA is filed under the name uncultured bacterium. Its description in RNAcentral is "partial 16S ribosomal RNA". It matches the Rfam family "Bacterial small subunit ribosomal RNA", at positions 29 to 507 of the family's 1533-position model. The record is from RNAcentral.
AGUGAACGCUGGCGGUAGGCCUAACACAUGCAAGUCGAACGGCAGCACAGUAAGAGCUUGCUCUUACGGGUGGCGAGUGGCGGACGGGUGAGGAAUACAUCGGAAUCUACUUUUUCGUGGGGGAUAACGUAGGGAAACUUACGCUAAUACCGCAUACGACCUACGGGUGAAAGCAGGGGAUCUUCGGACCUUGCGCGGUUGAAUGAGCCGAUGUCGGAUUAGCUAGUUGGCGGGGUAAAGGCCCACCAAGGCGACGAUCCGUAGCUGGUCUGAGAGGAUGGUAGCCGACAUGAGAGGUUGAACACGGACCAUACUCCUACGGGAGGCACCAGUGUGGUAUGUUAGACAGCGGGGGCAAGUAUUAUCCAGUGAUACCGAGUCUGUGACGAAGACCUUGCGGUUGUGAAGCCGGCUUUUGGGGUAUGAACCGCAGUCGCCUAAUACGACGCUGUUGUGACGGUACCCGAUGAAUAAGCACCGGCUAACUACGUG